Molecule: long non-coding RNA, 1689 nt
Organism: Oncorhynchus keta (chum salmon)
Lineage: Eukaryota; Metazoa; Chordata; Actinopteri; Salmoniformes; Salmonidae
Exons: 3
Source: RefSeq, a predicted model, not a curated record
CUCGCUACAUAUUGGUCACCAAACCAUUGGCUCCAGGUGAUCUAUAAGUCUUUGCUAGGUAAAGCCCCCCUUAUCUCAGCUCACUGGUCACCAUAGCAACACCCACCCGUAGCACGUGCUCCAGCAGGUAUAUUUCACUGUUCACCCCCAAAGCCAACUCCUUAGGCCGCCUUCCCUUCCAGUUCUCUGCUGCCAAUGACAGGAACGAACUGCAAAAAUCACUGAAGCUGGAGACUUGUAUCUUACCGAUCGCUGCACCUGUACACAGCCCAUCUGUAAAUAGCACAACCAACUACCUCAUCCCCAUAUUGUUAUUUACCCUCUUGCUCUUUUUGCACCCCAGUAUCUCUACUUCAUAUCAUCGUCUGCACAUCUAUCACUACAGUGUUAAUGAUAAAUUGUAAUUAUUUCACCUCUAUGGCCUAUUUGUUGCCUUUACCUCCCUAAUCUUACUACAUUUGCACACACUGUAUAAAUCUUUUUUUCUACUGUAUUAAAGACUGUACGUUUGUUUAUGUGUAACUCUGUGUUGUUGUAUGUGUUGAACUGCUAUGCUUUAUCUUGGCCUGGUCGCAGUUGUAAAUGAGAACUUGUUCUGAACUGACCGACCUGGGUAAAUAAAGGUGGAAUAAAAAAAAAACAAUUCAAUAAUGGCCAUUGGCUAUGAGGUAAGGAAAAUGGGACAGAUCCAGAAUGAAGGAAAUGACAGUAUGUUCUGUCUACUUUAACGCGACUUCAUGUUUGUUCAGUAUGAGGUAAGACAGUAUAUGGUUUACCAUCGCGACUCACAGAUGACACGGCUGACACAAAUAGACGACCACAGCCAAGAGGUGACUGAGGGGAAGAGAACACAGACAGACACAUAAUUUUUAAAAAACACACACACACACACAUAAAUUACACCACAUAUACAGCAAACACACACACACAUAAAUUACACCGCAUAUUCAGAAAACAGACACACACACACACACACGUGCACACACAGUGACCUGGCCUUGCCCCCUCUCCUCCAGUUUCAGUCCUGCCUCUCAGUGGCUGCUAUGAAGUCUGCCACUCUGACCUCUGUGUGUUCUGCUUAACAGUCAUAAUGAAUUAAGGAGCAUAAUUGUAGUGGGCACUCUGGACACACACAGUCUUCCUCUGGUGGAGAGUAGCUGAUCAAGAAACUUCCAUGUAAGAGAGAAAACGUCCUGUUUACCAUGCAGGCAGAUGAGGGAGGGAGGUUUCUAGGCUCUAGUCUUAGGUUCUGCAGGCGGAUGAGGGAGGGAGGUUUCUAGGCUCUAGUCUUAGGUUCUGCAGGUGGAUGAGGGAGGGAGGUUUCUAGGCUCUAGUCUUAGGUUCUGCAGGCGGAUGAGGGAGGGAGGUUUCUAGGCUCUAGUCUUAGGUUCUGCAGGCGGAUGAGGGAGGGAGGUUUCUAGGCCCUAGUCUUAUGUUCUGCAGGCGGAUGAGGGAGGGAGGUUUCUAGGCUCUAGUCUUAGGUUCUGCAGGCGGAUGAGGGAGGGAGGUUUCUAGGCUCUAGUCUUAGGUUCUGCAGACGGAUGAGGGAGGGAGAUUUCUAGGCUCUAGUCUUAGGUUCUGCAGGCGGAUGAGGGAGGGAGGUUUCAAGGCUCUAGUCUUAUGUUCUGCAGGCAGAUGAGGGAGGGACGUUUCAAGGCUCUAGUCUUAGGUUCUGCAGGCGGAUGAGGG